Mesoplodon densirostris (Blainville's beaked whale) is the source of this 77-nucleotide non-coding RNA. NCBI's taxonomy places the organism in Eukaryota, Metazoa, Chordata, Mammalia, Artiodactyla, Ziphiidae. The record is from the annotation of a RefSeq genome assembly.
UCCCUGGUGGUCCAGUGGGUAAGACUCUGUGCUCACAAUGCAGCGGGCCGAGCCAGGUUCGAUCCCUGGUUGGGGAA